Molecule: long non-coding RNA, 655 nt
Organism: Helianthus annuus (common sunflower)
Lineage: Eukaryota; Viridiplantae; Streptophyta; Magnoliopsida; Asterales; Asteraceae
Exons: 3
Source: RefSeq, a predicted model, not a curated record
GUGAAAACCCUAAACUGAUAGUCUCUUUGUUCUUAUUUGAUCGCAACAAUUACAUUUAAUCUUCAACGAUUAUAUUAGUAAGACUCAAUUGCUCCUAUUUCUUCUCCUCCAUCUCAAUUAGGUUAGUGGUGUAAUACCACUGCAUAGUGAUAUCUUAAAAGUUGAGCUAUUAGCUGAUUAUUUUUCUAUAUGGCCAAUUAAGUUCAAAAUAAGACCAAUGGCAUAACACCUAGAAUGUGGCUCAAGAUCGUCGAACUAUAGCAAAUUGGUCUAAAAGACAAUGGGUCACCAACCUAGACCUGCUUGUGGGUUUGCAGGAGGUUCAAAUGGAAACGACAACUUCGUUGUCAUUGCUUAGCAAUUAUCUAUAAAGCACCUCAAAAUAUACUGGAAUGGUUCAAGCAUCCACAAAGACAUCUUUAGAGAAGAAAGCCUUUUAGAAACACUACCUUCAAUCAGUAUGUUCACGUCAGCUUUAAGUUUGGUGGAUAAGCUAUGCUGAUAUCUCAGGCAUUAAUGUUUCUUAUAGCUUGCAUUAGCACAUCUAUCAGUGGUUUUAAUCUAUUUUAGACAAAGUGAUCUACUUUUGUUCAACAGGUUGUAUUAGUUACUAUUAUUACAAAUAUUUGAUUAUUUGAACCAUCUUAUUCAUGAU